CGCGUAGGUGGUUUGUUAAGCGAGAUGUGAAAGCCCCGGGCUUAACCUGGGAACGGCAUUUCGAACUGGCAGGCUAGAGUGUGGUAGAGGGUAGUGGAAUUUCCUGUGUAGCGGUGAAAUGCGUAGAUAUAGGAAGGAACACCAGUGGCGAAGGCGGCUACCUGGACCAACACUGACACUGAGGUGCGAAAGCGUGGGGAGCAAACA
This 207-nucleotide ribosomal RNA is filed under the name uncultured bacterium. Its description in RNAcentral is "partial 16S ribosomal RNA". It matches the Rfam family "Bacterial small subunit ribosomal RNA", at positions 568 to 774 of the family's 1533-position model. The record is from RNAcentral.